Molecule: ribosomal RNA, 225 nt
Filed under: uncultured Leptolinea sp.
Lineage: Bacteria; Bacillati; Chloroflexota; Anaerolineae; Anaerolineales; Anaerolineaceae
Description: partial 16S ribosomal RNA
Rfam family: Bacterial small subunit ribosomal RNA
Source: RNAcentral
CUUAAGCCGGAGGAAGUGGGGAUGAUGUCAAGUCAGCAUGGCCUUUAUAUCCUGGGCUACACACACGCUACAAUGGCCAACACAAUAGGUUGCUAAAGCCGCGAGGUGGCGCCAAUCCAUAAAGUUGGUCUCAGUUCAGAUUGUAGGCUGCAACCCGCCUGCAUGAAGAUGGAGUUGCUAGUAACCGCAGGUCAGCUAUACUGCGGUGAAUACGUUCCCGGGCUU